RNAcentral lists this ribosomal RNA (253 nucleotides) under uncultured bacterium. Its description in RNAcentral is "partial 16S ribosomal RNA". It matches the Rfam family "Bacterial small subunit ribosomal RNA", at positions 524 to 776 of the family's 1533-position model. The record is from RNAcentral.
UACGUAGGGUGCGAGCGUUGUCCGGAAUUAUUGGGCGUAAAGAGCUCGUAGGCGGCCUGUCGCGUCGGAUGUGAAAGCCCGGGGCUUAACCCCGGGUCUGCAUUCGAUACGGGCAGGCUAGAGUUCGGUAGGGGAGAUCGGAAUUCCUGGUGUAGCGGUGAAAUGCGCAGAUAUCGGGAAGAACACCCGUGGCGAAGGCGGCACUCUGGGACGGUACUGACGCUGAGACGCGAAAGCGUGGGGAGCGAACAGG